Molecule: long non-coding RNA, 536 nt
Filed under: Gallus gallus (chicken)
Lineage: Eukaryota; Metazoa; Chordata; Aves; Galliformes; Phasianidae
Description: long non-coding RNA NONGGAT009319
Source: RNAcentral
ACUAUUUCUCCACCCAGGGCACGGGUUUGAGCUUCUUGCCUUCCCCGCUGCUCCCCGCCGCGCUCCUCUCCUUGGCGGCGGGAGGCUUGCUGCUGAUGGAGGACGGGCCUUUGAGGAAGGCCUGCAUGGCUGUGGCUGCGCCCGCCCCAGUUCCUCUCCGUCCCCUCGGCUCCGCGCGGCCGUUAAGCCCAGCGCAUCACAACGCGCGCAAGCCCAUCGCCGCGCGCACCCCGCAACAACUUCCCGCCAAGCCGCCGCCACUCAAGGCGAAGCAGAGCCACUUCCGCCUGCUGAGAGCCAAUCACAGCGCCCCACCCGGCGGAGUGGGCGGGCCGCCGGCAGUGCUGCGCAUACGCCGCUGUCUGAGGAUCGUGAGGUCCUCCAUCCACACUUGAACUCUGCUAUCUUCCAAAUACUUCAUCUCAUUUCACCUCCAGUUGAAGCAGAUCCAACAGCUCAGUGAGAUGAUCCAAUACAUUGCACUACUAUGUCAGCAAACAGGAGGACAGAAGAAUGCUGCAGUUACGACUGUCCAG